CCUACGGGUGGCUGCAGUCGAGAAUCUUCGGCAAUGGGCGCAAGCCUGACCGAGCGACGCCGCGUGCGGGAUGAAGGCCUUCGGGUUGUAAACCGCUGUCGGAGAGGCGGAAAUGUCUAGGGGUUCUCCCCUAGACUUGACCAAUUCUCGGAGGAAGGACGGGCUAAGUUCGUGCCAGCAGCCGCGGUAAUACGUACCGUCCAAACGUUAUUCGGAAUCACUGGGCUUAAAGAGUUCGUAGGCGGCUCAGAAAGUUGGGUGUGAAAUCCCUCGGCUCAACCGAGGAAUUGCGCUCAAAACUACUGGGCUAGAGGGAGAUAGAGGUGAGCGGAACUGAUGGUGGAGCGGUGAAAUGCGUUGAUAUCAUCAGGAACACCGGAGGCGAAGGCGGCUCACUGGGUCUUUCCUGACGCUGAGGAACGAAAGCUAGGGGAGCGAAC
Molecule: ribosomal RNA, 440 nt
Filed under: uncultured bacterium
Lineage: Bacteria
Description: bacterial SSU rRNA
Rfam family: Bacterial small subunit ribosomal RNA
Source: RNAcentral